RNAcentral lists this antisense RNA (59 nucleotides) under Brucella abortus S19. RNAcentral describes it as "ctRNA_p42d". The stretch from base 13 to 58 matches the Rfam family "ctRNA". From Rfam's summary of the family: This family represents a group of ctRNAs (or counter-transcribed RNAs) from p42d and related plasmids. ctRNAs are small, highly structured, antisense sequences which are involved in negative regulation. Members of this family are known to bind to the mRNA of repC causing translational repression. RNAcentral also lists the same sequence under 4 other names. The record is from RNAcentral. Lineage: Bacteria; Pseudomonadati; Pseudomonadota; Alphaproteobacteria; Hyphomicrobiales; Brucellaceae.
GCUAAACCAAUGAGAAGGGCUUCCACGACGGCAACGUUUGGGGGCCUUUUUCUUUUGCG